RNAcentral lists this ribosomal RNA (146 nucleotides) under Pyricularia oryzae 70-15. Its description in RNAcentral is "Magnaporthe oryzae 70-15 5.8S ribosomal RNA". It matches the Rfam family "5.8S ribosomal RNA". Rfam says of the family: 5.8S ribosomal RNA (5.8S rRNA) is a component of the large subunit of the eukaryotic ribosome. Lineage: Eukaryota; Fungi; Ascomycota; Sordariomycetes; Magnaporthales; Pyriculariaceae. The record is from Rfam by way of RNAcentral.
AACUUUCAACAACGAAUCUCUUGGUUCUGGCAUCGAUGAAGAACGCAGCGAAAUGCGAUGAGCAAUGUGAAGUGCAGAAUUCAGUGAAUCUUCGAAUCUUUGAACGCACAUUGCGCCCGCCGGUAUCCUUGACCAGGUCAGGGUCU